CCUACGGGAGGCAGCAGUGGGGGAUAUUGCACAAUGGGGGAAACCCUGAUGCAGCGACGCCGCGUGAGUGAAGAAGUAUUUCGGUAUGUAAAGCUCUAUCAGCAGGGAAGAAAAUGACAGUACCUGACCAAGAAGCCCCGGCUAACUACGUGCCAGCAGCCGCGGGAAUACGUAGGGGGCAAGCGUUAUCCGGAUUUACUGGGUGUAAAGGGAGCGUAGACGGUUAUGUAAGUAUGGAGUGAAAGCCCGGGGCUCAACCCCGGGACUGCUUUGGAAACUGUGUAACUGGAGUACAGGAGGGGCAGGCGGAAUUCCUGGUGUAGCGGUGAAAUGCGUAGAGAUCAGGAGGAACACCGGAGGCGAAGGCGGCCUGCUGGAAUUAAACUGACGUUGAGGUUCGAAGGCGUGGGGAGCAAACAGGAUUAGAUACCCCAGUAGUC
Molecule: ribosomal RNA, 440 nt
Filed under: uncultured bacterium
Lineage: Bacteria
Description: partial 16S ribosomal RNA
Rfam family: Bacterial small subunit ribosomal RNA
Source: RNAcentral